Molecule: microRNA precursor, 63 nt
Filed under: Sphenodon punctatus (tuatara)
Lineage: Eukaryota; Metazoa; Chordata; Lepidosauria; Sphenodontia; Sphenodontidae
Description: Spt-Mir-146-P1_pre stem-loop
Source: RNAcentral
UGAGAACUGAAUUCCAUAGGCUUUGAAAUGAUUUAAAAAACGCCCACUGGAUUCAGUUCUGCA